AUGGAAAUGAUGAUUAUUUCCCCAAAUGAUCGGUACUGAAUAAAAUGAGUGAUCUCUCUCUUCAGAGAUUACUAGCCAGAAAGCUGAUCCAU
Molecule: non-coding RNA, 92 nt
Organism: Populus trichocarpa (black cottonwood)
Lineage: Eukaryota; Viridiplantae; Streptophyta; Magnoliopsida; Malpighiales; Salicaceae
Source: Rfam